Molecule: ribosomal RNA, 253 nt
Filed under: uncultured bacterium
Lineage: Bacteria
Description: partial 16S ribosomal RNA
Rfam family: Bacterial small subunit ribosomal RNA
Source: RNAcentral
UACGGAGGGGGCAAGCGUUGUUCGGAAUUACUGGGCGUAAAGGGCUCGUAGGCGGCCAACUAAGUCAGACGUGAAAUCCCUCGGCUUAACCGGGGAACUGCGUCUGAUACUGGAUGGCUUGAGUUUGGGAGAGGGACGCGGAAUUCCAGGUGUAGCGGUGAAAUGCGUAGAUAUCUGGAGGAACACCGGUGGCGAAGGCGGCGUCCUGGACCAACACUGACACUGAUGAGCGAAAGCCAGGGGAGCAAACGGG